Molecule: unclassified non-coding RNA, 224 nt
Filed under: plant metagenome
Description: partial contains small subunit ribosomal RNA, internal transcribed spacer 1, and 5.8S ribosomal RNA
Source: RNAcentral
UCUCCGUUGGUGAACCAGCGGAGGGAUCAUUACAGGACUCGCAAGACUCCUUCACCCUGUGAACCUCACUACAAGCCCGUUGCUUCGGCGGGUGUCCCGGCGGGGGUUUUCCCUCGCCGGGGCGCACAGCCCGCCGGCAGCCUACUAUACUCUGUCUCUUUGCGUUGGCAUCUCGAGAAAAAACAAACAAGUUAAAACUUUCAACAACGGAUCUCUUGGUUCUG